GACGAACGCUGGCGGCGUGCUUAACACAUGCAAGUCGAACGGAAAGGCCCUGCUUUCGUGGGGUGCUCGAGUGGCGAACGGGCGUGUAACAUGUGAAUCCCCUGCUUAUGACGUUGGGAUAACCUCAGGAAACUGGGGAUAAUACCGGAUAGGCGCACCACCUGCAUGGUUAGGGAUGGAAAGUUUCGGCGGUUGGGGAUGGCCUGGAGGCUUUUCAGUUUGUUGGUGGGGAAGUGGCCUACCAAGGCAUUGUCGAGAAGCGGGCCUGAGAGGGUGACCGGCCACAGUGGGACUGAGAUACGGGCCGGACUCCUACGGGAGGCAGCAGAGGGGAAGAUAGCACGAUGGGCGGAAGCCGGAUGCAGCAACGCCGCGUGCGGGAUGACAGCCUUCUUGUAGUAGGCAGCUAUCGCCGGUAACGAUGCGUGGGUGACGGUAAUGUGUGAAGAAGGACCGGCUAACUACGUG
This 468-nucleotide ribosomal RNA is filed under the name uncultured bacterium. RNAcentral describes it as "partial 16S ribosomal RNA". It matches the Rfam family "Bacterial small subunit ribosomal RNA", at positions 28 to 507 of the family's 1533-position model. The record is from RNAcentral.